GUAAGCGCAAGUCAUCAGCUUGCGCUGAUUACGUCCCUGCCCUUUGUACACACCGCCCGUCGCUACUACCGAUUGAAUGGCUCAGUGAGGCGUCCGGACUGGCCCGGGGAGGUGGGAAACCGCCACCCGGGGCCGGGAAGCUCUCCAAACUCGGUCAUUUAGAGGAAGUAAAAGUCGUAACAAGGUCUCCGUUGGUGAACCAGCGGAGGGAUCAUUA
Molecule: ribosomal RNA, 217 nt
Filed under: Ophiocordyceps konnoana
Lineage: Eukaryota; Fungi; Ascomycota; Sordariomycetes; Hypocreales; Ophiocordycipitaceae
Description: partial 18S rRNA
Rfam family: Eukaryotic small subunit ribosomal RNA
Source: RNAcentral